RNAcentral lists this ribosomal RNA (497 nucleotides) under uncultured bacterium. Its description in RNAcentral is "partial 16S ribosomal RNA". It matches the Rfam family "Bacterial small subunit ribosomal RNA", at positions 28 to 507 of the family's 1533-position model. The record is from RNAcentral.
GACGAACGCUGGCGGCGUGCCUAAUACAUGCAAGUUGAGCGCUGAAGGUUGGUACUUGUACCAACUGGAUGAGCAGCGAACGGGUGAGUAACGCGUGGGGAAUCUGCCUUUGAGCGGGGGACAACAUUUGGAAACGGAUGCUAAUACCGCAUAAAAACUUUAAACACAUGUUUUAAGUUUGAAAGAUGCAAUUGCAUCACCCAAAAAUGAUCCCGCGUUGUAUUAGCUAGUUGGUGAGGUAAAGGCUCACCAAAGCGAUGAUACAUAGCCGACCUGAGAGGGUGAUCGGCCACAUUGGGACUGAGACACGGCCCAAACUCCUACGGGAGGCAGCAGUAGGGAAUCUUCGGCAAUGGACGAAAGUCUGACCGAGCAACGCCGCGUGAGUGAAGAAGGUUUUCGGAUCGUAAAACUCUGUUGGUAGAGAAGAACGUUGGUGAGAGUGGAAAGCUCAUCAAGUGACGGUAACUACCCAGAAAGGGACGGCUAACUACGUG